GACAGAGGGGGCAAGCGUUGCUCGGAAUUACUGGGCGUAAAGGGCGCGUAGGCGGGAUGGCAAGUCGGUCGUGAAAUCCCUCGGCUCAACCGAGGAACGUCGAUCGAUACUGCUGUUCUUGAGGAUUGCAGAGGAGACUGGAAUUCCCGGUGUAGCGGUGAAAUGUGUAGAGAUCGGGAGGAACACCGGUGGCGAAGGCGGGUCUCUGGGCAAUUCCUGACGCUGAGGCGCGAAAGCGUGGGGAGCGAACAGG
RNAcentral lists this ribosomal RNA (253 nucleotides) under uncultured bacterium. RNAcentral's name for it is "partial 16S ribosomal RNA". It matches the Rfam family "Bacterial small subunit ribosomal RNA", at positions 524 to 776 of the family's 1533-position model. The record is from RNAcentral.